AGAAAUGCUUCAGGAGUAAGAAAAGAUGUCUGCAGUGGAAGCAGAGGGUCAGAAUGAGCUACAGUCAUUGAUACGUUCCCUUGGAUUUGGAAAUGAACUUAAGUGGUAAAUUAGUACACAUGACCAACAGAGUCAGUGUAAAGCACAGCCAUUGAAAAGAAAGAGAUUUUUAGCAUUGUAGUCAUCACAUGCCUUAAUGGAGUGUAUACUUUAAAUACAGAUUUGAAUCACUGCUCUUUUAUCCCUCUAGAUGUCAAUUUCAAAGAAGUCCUUGGGCAUUGUUGACUUUCUGUCCGUAAAGAAAACCCACCAAGAUUCACCAAGUACAUCACCUGCAGCCACACGCGUAUACGUGUUUUAAAUGCCCAGGGGAUGUUGAACAAUUAGGCAGAGAACUGCACUGUGGUCUCUUCUCUUCACUGCUCCCCUCCAGCCCCCCAUUUUUUUUUCUCUUUUAGAAACUGUGAUACCUGAUCUCUGGAUCUAGCAGGGAUGAGGGGUUUUUUGUUUGGGGGGUUCUUUUUGGUUUUGUCUUUUUGUAUCUGUAUAAUACAAUGUCUGGCCUUCCCCCUGACCUGCUGGUGUAUUUUCGGUCUCAUUAGUAGUCAGAGAGAAACCCUAGUGCAUCCGGUGCUGGGAGUCAGGUCUGAGACACAGGACAACAGAGAGAGGGAGCGGGCGAAAGGAUAUUAGAAGAGAGGCUUGUCUCCAAGAUAUGGAAGGAAGUGAGAAAUGACAGGACUGCAAGCUUUGUACGGAGGAGCCUGGCAGGGAGGGGGGGAGCGGCGAGGAGCGCGAAGUGGGUUCUCAGAAGCCCUAGAAGAGCUAAAGGUGAUUAGAAGGGGAUAUUGAUUCCUUAUUCUGCCAGCGAUUUAAGCAGGCAUGCGAGGAAUCCGCACCAUGGUUGCAAAAGGAGACCCACUGCCUCCUGUAACCAGACACUCGGGCUUUCCAGGAGCCCAGCGAGAGCCGAGAAGAAAGGGGGCAGUGUGGUCUAGGAAAAUUCAACUUGUCGCUGAUUUGUGCCUGAUGCUCGCUGUCCGUCAGCAGCCUCCCUUACAAUCUUUUUUUCCUCUCUCUCCCCCCCCCUUUUUUUUCUUGCCUUCUCCUUCUUCACUGAAGCCUAGGGGAGCCAGUAAAGAUUAAAUGUGCUUUCUCAAAGGCAGCCACUUCAUGCUGCUAUGUCGAAAGGGCCAUUAUUAUUAUUAUUUUUUUAAUAGUAAAAGAAGAAGGGAGAGAGGUUGAGAGAGAGAGAGAGAAGCUAGGUAGGAUGAUGACGGACUAGCUUUUCCGAGAGGAAAAGGGAAGGGAGAGAAAAAGCAGAGACCCUGAACGGAGGAUUGUGCCUGAGGAGAACCUACAGAGGCGGCACUGGGAGCCGUCCCCGCACAGGAAAGCCCAGUUUCCAGGCAGAUGGGGGAAGCGCCGAUCUAGCAGGUACAGAACCAGUAGCUGUCUGCGAAGAUGGAGGGGAAUUAUGCUUCGGAUUCCUCCGAAAUAUUGGCAAAAGGCUUCAAAGGAUCCGCAGCGGGAGCGGGGCGGGGGAGAUGCGCCUCCCUGGCUGGCGCCCACCCCUUCCCACUCCCCUCGACCGAGUGACAGCCUGGUGCUGGCUCGGGGUGGUUUGGCCUUGGCUUCAGCCAAGCAGCUGAUGCACAGGAGGCCUGUUCGCAGGACUGGCAAAGUGCACGCUAAAGAAAGAAGGAGGAAAUUUUGAAAAGCAACCCUGGGGAGGGUUCAUUCCUAUGAAAACAUUAAAAAAAAAUUUUUUUUUAACUGAAUAUUCUCAAAAUUUGAUCAGUCCCAGUCCAUCUCUCCACUCCCACCGAAUUGCCCCCUACCUCCCCUCGUCAGAGCAUAAACUACAGAGUUACAGUCUCCAGAUUUGGUGUAUCGCUUCCUGCCCCCGCCUCCCCCUCCCCGCCCAGUUCUCGGUCCUCUAUUGAAACACCUCGCCCAGGCGAGCGCCCUGCAGCUCACAUUUCCCCCCCUGGCUCGAUGGUGCUACGGAAGCUGCAGCCUGACUCCACUUCCAAUGGUCGUCUCCAUGUUCCUUUCAGCUGGUCCUAUAGUCCCCCUUCCUCAGGAAUGUCUUCCCAGGGAAACAACACAGACUGCAGAAACCCUGUCCCGAUGGAUGCUAAAGCCAGCUGCGAAGUGGAAACAAAGGACACCAUCACCUGAAGACAUCUCUCCUGCCAGUCGACACACCCACACGCUGCAGUUUCAGCCAGUAGCAUCUCAGAGCAAGAGGCAAGCUUUUCAAGAAACAGAAACCCUUAAGAAAGCUAUCUAGAUUUCGAAUGAGCAAGGACUUUCCCUUCCUCGUGUGUAUUCCUCUGUUUGUAUUUAAAUUCUGUGUGACAUUCAUUUUUAAAAAAAUUUUUUUUUCUAGUAUGACUAUGCUUAUGAAUACACUAAUUUUUAAAAUAGAAAAUUGUUCAUGCCAGAGGUCGAUUGCAUGUUAGCCACACACAGAGUUUGACCUUAAAAGAAUGACUUAAAGAAUAUUGAGUUCUUUUGCAAUCACAGAAUAGUAGGAGGCAAUACAAAGGAUAAAAUGAUGGUGGGAACUCAGAAUGUGUCAUCAAGUACAGUACCCACUGACACCAAACAACCAACCUUUUUAUCAGGCACGCUAGGCUCUGUGAGACAUGGUCACUGCCUCUAAGGAGUUUAAACCUAGUUAAACAGAAGCAUGUAAACUUUUGAAAAGAGAAGUAACAGAUCAAGUCCAUUUAUAAGAGCAAAAUGAAAGACAGAAGCAAGGAGCUCAGAGGAAGUCCGCUUAGGCGGGGCAAACUGGUCUGUCUAGGGAAGAAAGUUCCCAAAGGAAGGAAAUACAAUGUGAAUUUUAAAGGAUGUUAAAGAUUUAGAUAAAUGGGAAGGAAGAGGAAAAUAGAAUCCUUUCUAUAGAUGCAAUAUUGUGAGCAAAGUCAGAGAGGAAGGCAUCCACCUGGUGAUUUAAGGAAAUUAGGAAUGUACCGGUCCAGUUGACUAAAUCCCAGACUUCCACUGCCAAUCUAUAUGUACAUAUAUGGUGAAGACUUUACACGCAUACUUCCCCUUGCCCACCUCAGGUGUAGACCAGAAUUAUAAUCAUAUUUCUUCCAUUAAAAUAAGUGAGCAUGAUUGAUGAUAGUAUGAGGAUCUGUGAUUUUUCUGUUAGCCUAAUAACAGUGGAUAUUUAUUGAAUUCUCCCUACAUGUUAAGCAUUUUAUAUAGUAAUUCUCUUAAGCUUCACAACAACCCUGCAAAACAGAUAUUAUUUUGUAUUUCCAUUUUACAUAAAGAAACCUAAGGUUUAAGUAACUUGCCAAACUGCCACAUACAGGGUUCACAAUCAGGACUGUGAUUUCAAAGCUCAUGAUCUAAGGCAAUAAGCCACAGUGUUGCAACCAACUUUGUAAUUUUGCCACUUCUAUAUUCCUUGAUAUUUUUCUAUGGUAGACACAUAGCUAUUUUCUUUAAUUAUCUUCUCAAAAUUUUCAGUUUUCUGGUUGAACUAGCUUGGUGGAAUGUAUUUUCAUGACAGAAAUGGAAGCUACUGGGGAACAGAGUUUAUCAGCAUUUUAAGCUUUUUUUGGACCAGACUCUGAGGAGACUGUUAGCUUUGGUCAGCAUGAAAUCUCAACUUCUUGAGAACAAAAAUAGGGGGUGGGGAGAGCUUAAAGGUCAUCGGUUGCAAUGUUCUUUCCUACAGAUGUGAUAAACCUGUAAAGAUACAGUGACUUAGAGAAGAUCGCUCAUUUGAGUAUGACAGAAGUAGACCCAGAAACCAUGCCCUCAGAGGCUCUUGAACUACACCACCCUGCCCAAAGGAAGCAUGAGCUUGCAUUUCACCAAUGGAAACAUUCUAUCUGGGUGAUCAAGGAGCGCCAUACCAAGUACAUGGCUUCACUUUUGGCUACCUCUUUGGCUUUUCACUUCAAUGUGAAAAAUAGAUAGUUAUGAACUGACAUCUUUAGUUUCAAAAACUAUCAAUGGUCCAGCCGCAAAGAACACACAGUAGCCCAAGUUAUGUGUACAAUGUCUUCAAUGAUAUUAAGUUACUUGGCAUUCUUCCUUCACCUAAACCAAUCAGAUCUUCUAAUGAGCAUUUUCUUAACCAAUUUUAUGCACAGUAUAUAUUCAUAAGAGUUUCUGCAUGAAUGUUUAAACGUGUCUGUUUUGAUAGUCUUUAUGGUUUUUGAAAAUAUAAAUGGUCAUUUGCUAUUUUAAUUGUCAGUUAUCCAUAUAACUAACCCAAGAAAACUUCAGCCAUAAAAAACUAGAAUUAAGGAAAUCUUCAUCUUCUAUACUAGCCCCUUUGCCUUUAGUUGGCACUUAGUAAUAAUUAAUAAAGUGGUCUACUGAAGAAUACAGAGGUUCAAAACGCAAUUUUGUCUUGAAGGAGUCAGCUAAACUGUGUCUACUUGAGAGCAAGCAUCUGGAUGUUUGGAAGGACCUGAAUAUUUGACUGUUGUAAAUUUCCAUUUAGCUCUCCGGGUUUGUCACACUUAGACGUCCUGGUGGCUCAGGUCAUCCUGUUUUCAAAAUGAUGAUCGUUGGCCAUCUCUCACACAGUGCUCAUUAAGUGAGUUCAUAAAUAAACAGGUUGUUUUCUUUUAUAAGCAUAGCCAAGCACAAAAUGUGACUCUGUUGACAUUUUAUGAGACUUUGUCAUAUGUCCCCUGAACCCCCAAUAAAAGCAAUGUUGCAUCAACUGUGAA
Long non-coding RNA from Capra hircus (goat), 4712 nucleotides. RefSeq lists it as uncharacterized. NCBI's taxonomy places the organism in Eukaryota, Metazoa, Chordata, Mammalia, Artiodactyla, Bovidae. The transcript has 3 exons. The record is from RefSeq and is a predicted model, not a curated record.